RNAcentral lists this long non-coding RNA (606 nucleotides) under Neodiprion pinetum (white pine sawfly). Its description in RNAcentral is "uncharacterized LOC124215024". Lineage: Eukaryota; Metazoa; Arthropoda; Insecta; Hymenoptera; Diprionidae. The record is from RNAcentral.
GCUUUUCAAUAUACCGAGCCAUUAGAGUUCUAUUUCCUGAACAUAAUACUUCUUGCCAAUCGAACCGUUCGUACAUCUUCAAAGAACAGCGAUGAAGCUCGUCUUCGCGUACUUACUUGCUUUGGCUUUGGCCAUAACUGUCACAGAAGGCAUAGUGUGUCCUCGUGAUUACUGUGCCACUGCUAAUUGCACAAAUGUGACCGAAGAAGAAUGCGAAGCGCAAAACAAGUCGUACGACCCCAGCGGUAGCUUUUGCGGAUGCUGCUCUACCUGUCUCACCAUACUUCACGAAGGAGAAAGCUGUACUAUCACACGGUUGAGGGGAGAGCCACCCACAGCGACAUGCGAAGACGGCACCACGUGCCAACAGGUUGGGAACAGCUCUACGUACGAGUGUCAGUCGACUUCGUGAAAUUUCUAUUAACCCUUCCAGAAGACAGCAAAGGCAGCAGUCACGCGACUCUACGCAGACGUGUGCGAUUAACAAAACGCAAAACCCAAUUCAUCUGACCUUCCUACGAUGAGCGUUACUUAUACAUUGAUACCUCUUUAAUGUUUCAAUGAAAUACGAAAUACCAAAUGAAUAAAUAUAUAAUGAAAACAUUA